Molecule: ribosomal RNA, 232 nt
Filed under: uncultured bacterium
Lineage: Bacteria
Description: partial 16S ribosomal RNA
Rfam family: Bacterial small subunit ribosomal RNA
Source: RNAcentral
UGAGCAAUCUGCCCUUCUCUUUGGAAUAAGCGUUGGAAACGACGUCUAAUGCCGAAUACGACCUCCUUUCGCAUGAUCGGAGGUGGAAAGCUCCGGCGGAGAAGGAUGAGCUCGCGGCCUAUCAGCUAGUUGGUGUGGGUAAUGGCCCACCAAGGCGAUGACGGGUAGCCGGCCUGAGAGGGUGACCGGCCACACUGGGACUGAGACACGGCCCAGACUCCUACGGGAGCAG